This 1291-nucleotide long non-coding RNA is filed under the name Malus domestica (apple). RNAcentral describes it as "long non-coding RNA (MDOM_LNC013049)". Lineage: Eukaryota; Viridiplantae; Streptophyta; Magnoliopsida; Rosales; Rosaceae. The record is from RNAcentral.
GGUGGGUUUCGGGACUCAAAAGGGUUUUGAUCCAUAAGGCACAUAAGGUUUAAGUUGUGUGACAACUAAUACAAAAUGGGCAAUUAACUCGCCAACAAUUUGGAGGCCAGCUUUGCAUAGAGAGAAAGUGGUUUUGGACUUAUUACAAGUUUGCUACUCCAUUGAAGAUAUGUAUAAAAGUAUCUUUAUAGCAUUUUCUUCAUUUAUGGUUUCUUUGAGGAAAGAUGAGAGAACACAAGCUCUCUCUUUCUCUCUAGGAGGCUGGACACUAUGGGUGAAGAUUGCUAUCAUUUUCUUUAUCCAUAGUCACUCAUCUUCUUCCUUCACCAUCCUUGGUGUCGAAAAUUAGAGGUCUCAAACUUUGGAGACUUUUGGAGAAUCCAUUCACCCUCCUUCUCCAAGAAAUCGUGGAGCAAAUUAGAAGCAAGGAAUGAAGGCCCGGCCUCUCUCUUGGGUGAUUAGUCUUUCCUUAUGCAAAGAGGAUUCAAUAAAGGUAUAAAAGUUUCUCAACUCUCUUUGUGUUUUGAGUUGAGUUUUGGUUCACCACAACUACUAGGCUUUGAAUUUCAUGGUUUAAGUUUUGUUUUAAAGUGCUUAGAAACAUGUUUCCACCAUUUAAUCAUUAAAUGCAUGAAUUAUAACAAUAAUAUGGUUCAAAUUCGCUUUUGGCGAAAAUUGAAUAUAAGACCUCUCACUUAUAAGUGAAGAGGAUUCAAUAAAGGUAUAAAAGUUUCUCAACUCUCUUUGUGUUUUGAGUUGAGUUUUGGUUCACCACAACUACUAGGCUUUGAAUUUCAUGGUUCAAGUUUUGUUUUAAAGUGCUUAGAAACAUGUUUCCACCAUUUAAUCAUUAAAUGCAUGAAUUAUAACAAUAAUGUGGUUCAAAUUCGCUUUUGGCGAAAAUUGAAUAUAAGACCUCUCACUUAUAAGUGAAGAGAAAUACCAUUAAACCGUAGUAAUGGCUAUUCAAUUAAUUGUUUAAUGAGAUGUUUAGGUGACAUCGCCCACAUGAUGUUGGACCAUUGAUAAAGUAAACCUCGUGGGCAAUGGACAGUGGUGAAGCUAGGAAUUGACGGGAGGAGGGGCGAACUUAAGAGAGUGCAAGGUUCAAGAAAAAAAAAAUCUUAGACUCUUAAUCCUAUAGUGGACUAUGCUAAUAUGCCUAAUAACUAAUCCAACCAACAAUUCAAUUAACCAAUACCAAUAAGCAUACAAAUUAUUCAAUAAAUAACAAUUUAAUUCAACUAAUCGUAUGAAUAAUUGUAUACAUUAAUUAAUAAUUCAAUUAAUU